GGUCUGAUGGUCUAGUGGUAGGAUUCUCGCUUUGGGUUCUUCUUAAUACGGAUUACAACACUGCGAGAGAUCCCGGGUUCAAUCCCCGGUCAGACCC
RNAcentral lists this transfer RNA (97 nucleotides) under Hypoxylon rubiginosum. Its description in RNAcentral is "tRNA-Pro". It matches the Rfam family "tRNA". Rfam says of the family: Transfer RNA (tRNA) molecules are approximately 80 nucleotides in length. The record is from RNAcentral. Lineage: Eukaryota; Fungi; Ascomycota; Sordariomycetes; Xylariales; Hypoxylaceae.